UACGUAGGGUGCGAGCGUUAAUCGGAAUUACUGGGCGUAAAGCGUGCGCAGGCGGUUUUUUAAGUCAGAUGUGAAAUCCCCGGGCUUAACCCGGGAACUGCGUUUGAAACUACAAGGCUAGAGUGUUGGAGAGGGGGGUGGAAUUCCACGUGUAGCGGUGAAAUGCGUAGAGAUGUGGAGGAACACCGAUGGCGAAGGCAGCCCCCUGGGCUAACACUGACGCUGAGGCACGAAAGCGUGGGGAGCAAACAGG
Molecule: ribosomal RNA, 253 nt
Filed under: uncultured bacterium
Lineage: Bacteria
Description: partial 16S ribosomal RNA
Rfam family: Bacterial small subunit ribosomal RNA
Source: RNAcentral